The sequence is a ribosomal RNA, 777 nucleotides long. It matches the Rfam family "Bacterial small subunit ribosomal RNA", at positions 1 to 759 of the family's 1533-position model.
UUUUAUGGAGAGUUUGAUCCUGGCUCAGGAUGAACGCUGGCGGCGUGCCUAAUACAUGCAAGUCGAGCGAACGGACGAGAAGCUUGCUUCUCUGAUGUUAGCGGCGGACGGGUGAGUAACACGUGGAUAACCUACCUAUAAGACUGGGAUAACUUCGGGAAACCGGAGCUAAUACCGGAUAAUAUUUUGAACCGCAUGGUUCAAAAGUGAAAGACGGUCUUGCUGUCACUUAUAGAUGGAUCCGCGCUGCAUUAGCUAGUUGGUAAGGUAACGGCUUACCAAGGCAACGAUGCAUAGCCGACCUGAGAGGGUGAUCGGCCACACUGGAACUGAGACACGGUCCAGACUCCUACGGGAGGCAGCAGUAGGGAAUCUUCCGCAAUGGGCGAAAGCCUGACGGAGCAACGCCGCGUGAGUGAUGAAGGUCUUCGGAUCGUAAAACUCUGUUAUUAGGGAAGAACAUAUGUGUAAGUAACUGUGCACAUCUUGACGGUACCUAAUCAGAAAGCCACGGCUAACUACGUGCCAGCAGCCGCGGUAAUACGUAGGUGGCAAGCGUUAUCCGGAAUUAUUGGGCGUAAAGCGCGCGUAGGCGGUUUUUUAAGUCUGAUGUGAAAGCCCACGGCUCAACCGUGGAGGGUCAUUGGAAACUGGAAAACUUGAGUGCAGAAGAGGAAAGUGGAAUUCCAUGUGUAGCGGUGAAAUGCGCAGAGAUAUGGAGGAACACCAGUGGCGAAGGCGACUUUCUGGUCUGUAACUGACGCUGAUGUGCGAAAG